UCCUCCUCUCCGUCUCCCAACCCCAUUCAGACGCGGUCGCCCCUAGCCUAGCGCGCGCGCGCGGACGCCCCCUAGCCAACAAUGCCGUGCCAUCCAACCCCUGCCGCCGCGCGCUUCGGCGGCGUCACAUCCCGCCGCCACGCGGAGCUGCUCCUCCACAGCGGCGUCGACGGCGUCUCUGUCAAGGACCUCCGCCUCCGCCGCGUCGUCCCGCCCGCCGCCGAUUCCCUCGACACCUCCCCCGAGUGCGCCGUACCCGUGAAGCCCGGAUCUGGCGAGAGCACGCCUCCGGAGGCCGUGUCGUCUGCUGCUGCUGCUGCGGCUGCGGCGGCGGCGGCCGGGGACCUUGACCGCAAGUUGGUGCCCCCGCGGUCCAAGCUCGUCCGCGACCCGCGCUCGUUUGGGUACCGGCGCCUGCUGCCUUUCCUGAACGAGAUGACGAAGAACGAUAGCUCAAUCGGCAAGGAGGUGCUCCCGCAAGACACGGCUGUGUCGCACCCAAAGGAUGGGCUCGGCGGAUCUGAUUCUCGGUUGGCUGAUGGAUCUGUAGGCGUUAGCCACUGCGAACCUGAAGCCAUGGAUUCCGUGGAGCCGGUGGUGGUGAACACCGGAGGAGACGCCGAUGUGAAGGAUGCCUGCAACAAUGUCGCGGAAGAGAUCAAGAUUGUCCCUCAUGACCUAACCAACAAGCCGUUGCUUGCCCGAUGCACAAGGUCGAGGUUUGUUCAUCAUCCAAGCUCGUUCAGCUACAAGAGGAUGCUGCCAUUUCUCAUGGAGAAUGAAAUCUCUGCUCAGGAAAGUGACAGGGUCAAAAUUCGAAAAAUUGCAGAGGAAAGGCAGCCAGCAUCAAAUGAGAAUGAUGCCUCAGCCAGUGGGCAGCAGUCUCUUGCUAUCUCUGACGACUCUUCUGUGGAAUGCAAUGGAGCUCAAGCUGAAACAAUGGAAGAAGAAAAGCCACCAAAAGCAGAUGAGAAUCAUGUUCUUGAUGACAGACAGCUUCAGUCUCCUGUUAUAGAAGCAUCUCCUCCUGAAUGCAGUGCAGUUGAAAUGCAAAAUGUCACGCAAAAUGAAGCUUUAGCUUCAAGUCAAGCCCCCCUAACUUCUUUUGAGGGUGAAUUAACAUCAGAUGGGGACAAUGUCCAGGCCGUUGGACAACAUCAGCUUGUUGUACCAGAAGAGUCUCCAGAGGAAUGCAAAAGAGAUGAAGUCAAAAGAAGCAUUCACGAUGAAGCAGUAAAAUCAGACGGGGGCUAUGCUCUGGAUAGCAGAGAAUUUCAGCCUGCUGCAUCAGAAGUCUCUUCAGAAAACAGCAUGGCUGAAGUGCAAGGGGCUGCACAAGAAGAACCGUUACCCUUAGAUGGAGUUGAGGAAAAUUCAGACAAGGGUGACUAUGUUACCAAAGAGCAGGCUCAGCUCUGUGCCACAAAUGAAUCCUUGGCUGCACAGCUGCAAGAUAAUGCUGAAUUCGCUGAAGUGCCACAGUGCCAAAACUUGGACUCAGGAUGUCAUGAUGUUGGAUUUGGUAGCCCUACCAAGAGAGUGAUACCAUUGUUGCAUCGGCAUUGUGCACAACAACCUCAGGAUUCUGUGGUUUCUCUUGAUGAUCAGCUUCUUGAUGAUGACAUACAAAUGGUCUGCAGACCUUCUGAUCCCUGUGCUGUUGACAGAUCCUUAUCAGUGGAGGAAAUGUCUGGAUGUAUUUCGUUCACUGAAUCACCAUCAAGCAAAGCAGGCAGAUCAUGGCCGAGUGGCGCCCAUUCAAUGGGAAAAAGAGCUCUGUCUCCUAAGAAGCUUUCUCCAAAGAAAGGAAUACUCAAGAGGAGUACAAGGGGGUGUAAGGGUAUCUGCAUGUGCUUGGACUGCUGUUCGUUUCGUCUACAUGCUGACCGAGCUUUUGAGUUCUCUAGGAAGCAGAUGAAAGAAGCAGAUGACAUAAUAGGUAACUUACUGAAGGAGGUGUCCAGUCUUAGGAGUCUGCUGGAGAAGCCUGCUGGCCAAGUAAUUAUAAAUCCAUGCAUUUCAGCGGGAAUCAACACAAGCUGCUUGUAGACAAGCCUCUCGGGUGGAGGAGGUGGCCAGAAACCGUUGCCAUCAGAUGUUCGUGGAUCUAAAUUCCCACUGCAGAAUCCCUGGACCAAGGGUUAGAUUCACCGAAUAUGUUGAGGAAAAGAAGGCUUCAUCAUCUCCACGCAGGAGCAACCGGAGGUGACUUAAUUUCAGAAGCUGGUGGUGACCUGAUCUGACCUGCUGGCCUAGACAUUGUGUUACUGACUUCUUCAGUACAUAAUUUUGUGCUGCUUGGUGAACCCUGUGCAUGUCUUUUGAAUGCAAUGUGAUGUGCUGUGGACAGGGAUGGUUGAGUGGUCCUAGGCACAGAAGGAAGAUUGAAAUGAAAUGAAAUGUGGCUGGAGUUUUUGCGAACUGGAACAUGUUUGUCUGCAAACUUUUAGUGGUGAUAUGGUGGUACGUUGGUUGUGAGGCCGGCUUGCGUUGAUGUUUGUACUAAAUACUAUGUACUCCCUAUAUUCCAAAUUGUAAGUUGUUUUUUACUUUUUAGAUAUAAUAUAGCUUUUGUUGUAUAUCUAGAUAUACACAAUGUCUAGAUACAUAGUAAAAGCUGUGUCUAGAAAAGCCAAAACGAUUUGGAAUUUGGAAAGGAGGGCAUACAAUUUAUAUAUACAUAGCAUCGCCUCA
Sorghum bicolor (sorghum) is the source of this 2694-nucleotide RNA transcript. RefSeq lists it as uncharacterized. NCBI's taxonomy places the organism in Eukaryota, Viridiplantae, Streptophyta, Magnoliopsida, Poales, Poaceae. The transcript has 7 exons. The record is from RefSeq and is a predicted model, not a curated record.